CAUAAAUUCUGAACACUUAUGUCUCAGCCCAUUUCCCGUAUAUAUGUGAACCCAUCUGUUGGCUCCUGCGAUGCUUCCUCAACAUUCCAGAGCAACAAAACCCAAAACCCACAAGCACAUUUCAGGUGGAAUCACAACAAAUAAAAGAAAUUCACUGUUGGCAUGAGAUCACACACGUUUCAUUUCAGGUACGUCUGAAACUAUAGCUCUGAAGAUAACUCUGCACAUGGUUUUCUUCUCUGCCAUAGUGACAAAGAGGGGUACACCAUGGACUAACGCUGACACUCACACAACCUUUAAAAAUAGUUUUAAAACCUGUUUUGACAAGCACUUUAAGACAGAUGCUUCAGGAUCACCCAUUACAGGCUGCCCAUCUCACUCUCCCCCUCUAUCAAGGCACAUAAAAUGUGUUAAUGAAGUAUUAUUUUUACAUAUAUGUAAAGCACGCAGCAUAGCGGGUUACAUGAGAGGCAGAGGUGAUUGUGUUCUGCCAGUGAAGAAGGUGGAAUACUUUGAGAUGUUCUUAUGAGUAGAUGAUCUCAUAAGAUGAUCUCUGGCUACUCUCACAAAUAAGAUCUGGUUCAUGUGGUCUUACAGUUAACUCGGUCUUCAUAAGACCUCCAGCAGCGAUAAGGGACAGACUUUUCAUAAGAUUCUUGAUAUAGAAGAGGUGCCCCUUGUCUCUGCCUUGCUCCUUUUUCGCCCUUUCCUUUGAAAAACAAAGCAGUGACACAACCUGAUAGAUAUCCUAUAGUAUCAAAGUAUAUCAGAGACCUUUGACUGUGUUAUUUCCAGUCAUAAGCUAGGAAACUUUUCCAUUGCAAUGAACUGCCAUUUCCAAUUUCCUGACCUCCAUAACAUUAGAUCCAAACAGUCUGAUCUUUACCAGAUACCUUGGAAAUACAGAAAUAUCCUUCUGUUUGCUCCCACCAAGUUGCAAGAUACAAUUUCCUAUACGUAUUAAAAUAGCAGGACUGACUCAUUUUCAUCAAUUGCAACUGCACCUGUCCUGCUAACUGCUUACACAUCCCAUGCAGAAAACUCAUCACGUACAACAGUGAUCUCCCUACACCACCAGUGUGAUGGAGAAUGGAUUGUCAGCCCCUUGGGACCUUCUAGAUAUCCUUGACUCAUUCUCAAAACCCUAGACCAGGAUGCUUCAGGUGGUGCCUUUAAAGGAGUUCAGUUGAAAGACAUCAAGCAUUGCAUCAAGUUUUGACACACUUUUAACUGUUUCUUAAUGCACAGAAUAAUGUUGCUGAUGCAUAAUCCCUGGGGAGAGGAAAAAAAAAAUAAUAAAAAAA
RNAcentral lists this long non-coding RNA (1304 nucleotides) under Strigops habroptila (Kakapo). RNAcentral's name for it is "lncRNA (ENSSHBG00005013576.1)". The record is from RNAcentral. Lineage: Eukaryota; Metazoa; Chordata; Aves; Psittaciformes; Psittacidae.